AAACACCUUUUAGAGGGGAGUAAAAAGGAGGGCGAGCCGCUGAUGUGGAGAAAGAUAAAAGCACCGUUUUUUGCGGCUUUUCUUCACCCCCCGGGAAGAAGUCCUGCAGCAGCCGGCCCCCCAAUUGGGCAACUGUUGGGGUCCUCCUGCGCGCCGAAGGUGCAUCUUCAGGUGGAAUGGUCCGCAAGGAUCCUAGCAGCCACAUGAACCCCCCUUUUUGGCCACCCUCUUGGUUCCCCGCCUUGGGGGAGGGGUGUUUUUUUUUAGGGCAACAAAGGGCAUGGCUUACGGGCCCGAUUAUGGCCGAGCUGUGGGUCGGCGGCGGUCGCUUGCGACACGUGCUGUGCCAGCAGUUCGGUCCUGGUCGAGCUCCCACAGUGCCCAUUCUCGGUGUAAGAGCUGGUCAUCUCUCCGACCCGUCUUGAAACACGGACCAAGGAGUUUAUCGUGUGCGCGAGUCAUUGGGCGUUGAAAACCCAAAGGCGCAAUGAAAGUGAAGUGCCACGCAAGUGGCUGAUGUGCGAUGUUGUGUUCCAAGGCACACGACCGCAGCAUGGCCCCAUCCUGGCUGCUUGCAGCGGGGUGGAGGAAGAGCGUGCGCGAUGAGACCCGAAAGAUGGUGAACUAUUCCUGAGCAGGAUGAAGCCAGAGGAAACUCUGGUGGAAGUCCGAAGCGAUUCUGACGUGCAAAUCGAUCGUC
This 700-nucleotide ribosomal RNA is filed under the name Pratylenchus zeae. RNAcentral's name for it is "partial large subunit ribosomal RNA". It matches the Rfam family "Eukaryotic large subunit ribosomal RNA", at positions 369 to 906 of the family's 3401-position model. The record is from RNAcentral. Lineage: Eukaryota; Metazoa; Nematoda; Chromadorea; Rhabditida; Pratylenchidae.